CUCACAUGAUCAAUACUACUGCUAUUGCACUUGUGUCUAAGGUUAGAGCUCCUACAACUGUUAAAGAUUAUAGACCUAUUGCCUGCUGUACCACUAUCUAUAAAAUCAUUUCCAAAGUUAUUACAAGGAGGAUGAAAACUGUUAUUGGUGGUUUAGUUGGACAAGCUCAGUCAGCUUUUAUUGAAGGGAGAAGCAUUGUUGAUAAUAUUUUGCUUAGUCAUGAAAUCUUCAAGGGUUAUUCAAGUAACGAAGUAUGAAGGGAGAAGCAUUGUUGAUAAUAUUUUGCUUAGUCAUGAAAUCUUCAAGUGUUAUUCAAGAAAAGGAGUAUCCCCCAGAUGUGUCCUGAAGGUGGAUUUGAGGAAGGCCUAUGACACCCUUGAAUUGGGCUUCCUUAAACAGAUUCUUAUUGAUGUUGGCUUCCCUGCAAAGUUUAUUAACUGGAUAAUGGCUUGUGAUACUUCUGUUUCCUAUUCUUUAGUGUUGAAUGGUGGUCUAACUAAGCCUUUCA
RNAcentral lists this long non-coding RNA (508 nucleotides) under Nicotiana benthamiana. RNAcentral's name for it is "long non-coding RNA (NBEN_LNC011428)". The record is from RNAcentral. Lineage: Eukaryota; Viridiplantae; Streptophyta; Magnoliopsida; Solanales; Solanaceae.